Molecule: non-coding RNA, 483 nt
Organism: Podarcis lilfordi (Lilford's wall lizard)
Lineage: Eukaryota; Metazoa; Chordata; Lepidosauria; Squamata; Lacertidae
Source: the annotation of a GenBank genome assembly
CAGUGAAGGGGUGGAGUUUCCAGUGUGUCAGAGGAAGCAGCUCCAGCAGCAGAGAAAGGAGGGGGGUCAGAGCAAGCCGCCCUCCCGGAAGGGGAGGGGAGCAGUGAAGGGAGUAGUGUAACUGUCAAAAGGAAAGUUAGAGGUUUGGCGCGCGCGCCUAGUUCAAAUGUAGAGGCGCGCGGAAAUGCAGGGAGUCCGGAGGAGGGGCCAGGUCCCAAAGCCCGCAGGAGGGGGGAAGAGCAGUCUGGGGAUUCAGCGUCAGAGGAAUCCAGAAGGGGCGCAACCCCAGGGGGCAGAAGGACCCUGCGGAAAAGGAAGGAGAGAAAGAGGUGGAGCAGCGCAAGUCUCUUAAAUUGGUGCAGAGGAGGAACUGACUCAGAAGGGGACUUCGGCGGUCUAGCGUAAGAGACGUAAGGCUGCGCGCCUAGGAUGUCAAGCAACCAUGAACUGCAAUAAACACCUUUGUAUACAAGAAGACGUAGG